This 388-nucleotide unclassified non-coding RNA is filed under the name Bartonella elizabethae. RNAcentral describes it as "contains 16S-23S intergenic spacer region". The stretch from base 186 to 259 matches the Rfam family "tRNA". The record is from RNAcentral. Lineage: Bacteria; Pseudomonadati; Pseudomonadota; Alphaproteobacteria; Hyphomicrobiales; Bartonellaceae.
AGCCUUCUGGCGAUCUCUUAAAAUAAAGCCUAGCCUGCUUUAAAAAAACGGGCGUUUAGAUACUCUUUAAAUUCUUAUGAAUCUUAAAGAGUAUGAAUUAAAAAAAGGCUUUAUGAAGAAAGCACUUUAAGCUUUUCCAACGAUUUAAGAUGAUACCGGGGAAGGUUUUUCCGGUUUAUCCCGGAGGGCUUGUAGCUCAGUUGGUUAGAGCGCGCGCUUGAUAAGCGUGAGGUCGGAGGUUCAAGUCCUCCCAGGCCCACCAAUUUAUGCUCGUUUUUUGCUUAUUCUUGAGCCUUAUGAAGCUUAAGCGUGUCAAAGCCUCUUUAAUCUUUGUUCAUAGUUUAAAGAUUUAAUUUUAUCUUUCAGAAAUUAUUUGUUAAAUUUAUUU